CCCGCCUCCCUGCCCCGCCGGCCGCGGCCGUCGCUCGCCUAGGCACCCGCCCGCACUCGCGCCGCCACCGUCGCCCCCUCUCCUCUUCCUCCCGCCCGUGCCUCACCGCGGCUUCCUCCCGGCUCCUCGUCCGCGGCCUCGACGGCGCCCCCGUGCUCCACCUCGAGGCGCACCAUGCUGGCCGGGCGCGCUACGUGCUCUCCUGCGACACCGGCCGCCGCAUCUGCGUCUUCACCGAGAACGGCACGCGUCCGUCACCCGUGUAGACAGGACUCCUCCUCUUCCCUACCUCGAGGGCACGGAGAUGCUGACGGAGAAGCCCAGCUGGGUUCACCAUGACGGCCUGCAGAUCUUCUCCAUCAACAUCCAGCCGAGCGGCCUCCGCUUCGCCACGGGAGGUGGUGACCAGAAGUACUAGGAACCUGUUAUUUGGUGGCACUCUUUGGUCAAGCUUGAAAUUUUUUGGGGCUCAAGCCUACCGUUCUUAUGAUGGUAACUGGGCCAUUUUUCUUACUAAUGGAAGAGUAGGAGGCAGAGAGGGAGAUGGGGUGGUAAGAAGAGAGGGUGAGGAAGGAGGAAGAGGAGAUCCUCCCGGCACUCAUGGUGGUCGCCCAGAUCCUAGUGGGGAUGGCAGUCCAACAUGCUCUGUGUUGUUCUAAAGGGGAACCAUGCCCAUGCGACGGUACCGAACAAAGUUGUGCACGUGGUCGUGGACACUCUACGCGAAAGAAAUUUGUAUAAAUAUACAAUGCUCUUUUUGAAGACUCCUGGGAUGAUAUUGGAAGGAACUCAAGCGGAAGGCCGCCGGACAUGGAAGAAAUGAGCCCAAGCCCAAUCAAUUGGAUGCUUCAGUGGAUUUGAAUGGGGUUCAUUGUAGGCGAGUGCUUGAAUUUGCGGCCUCACAUGCAUCAUUAGCUUCCCUUAUCCCACACAAGUAUUCUUCGUGAGAACUAUGCUUAGAUAGCUGAAUGUAUUAUUGUGAACUACUGAACCUUUGCACUUUUGUUGUAACAUACUGAACAUUUGCACCAUUGCUUUUCAUUGUAUAAAUGUAUGAAAUAAAAAAAAUGUCUCAUACCAGGUUGAAUAUUGCGGGGGCGGGUGGGGUGCGGCAAAGAUUAAUAUGCAUAAAGUGUGAGGUGUACAGAAACCUGCACCUUAUACUCCUGUCUUGCUUUUGCUAACUAUAUGAAAUAGACUGAACCUGAACCUGACUACAAUUUAAUGUCUAAGCUGAAUUGUUGCAUCCGUAGACAUGGAAUUAUGGAUCAAUUUUAUCUCUCAAGAACUGCAUACUUAUGGUCCUAUGCAAUCCCAAUUUAUUCAGGCAAGCAUCCCAAAAGUUCACUAAUGAACAAAGCAACAUCACACAGAAUCUAAGUUUUAGGCCAGGUUACUGUAAUGUAUUUUUAAAGAUGUACAUUAGAGAAAUUGUUCAGCCAACAAUCCAAUUAAAUUUGUGUGCAGCUAUAUAUAUAUUUACUAAUCAAUCUUUUCCCUUCUCUCUAUCUAAUUUUAACAUUGCACAAUGAUUUACUCCUUGUUUGUAGCUUACACUGAAAUCUAAGCUUGUGUGCAUGUAUGUAUUAUGAACCAGCCCUGUCCAUUGCCUUACUGGAUACAUAAGUCUCUCCAUUGUUGUUGUCGGAUGGGUUUAUGUUUGCUGUUGUCGGAUGGGUUUAUGUUUGCUAUUAUUUUCUGUCUUGGUUAGGAACCAUGUGCUAUAAUGCACCAAUGCUGCUUUCGGAUGACAACGACAAUGCCAAACGCACCAUCACCUGAGAUGAUUGGUGGGCAGAAUUAAAGAGGGAUUACCAAGUAAGGAAAUACACCCGAGCAAGCAGCUAGACCCAAGCGGAGUUUUAAAAUCAAAACGGGGCAAUUCUCUACUGUGACAAAGUGAAGAGAAAACCGAUGCAUCAAAUUAAUACAGAAAUCCAGUUCAUAUGAAGCAGAAGAAAGGCAUACAGUACAUUACAUUGACAGUGAUUGUUAGCCCAUUGUGGUACUUCAAAUCUGAUAAAGAAUAUAUUUCAUGACCGAGACAUGACAUUUGGAGAAUCUCGGUUCUAAUAUCUACAUGAAUCAACUUUUAUUUUGUCAUGCUACUGAAUGUUCUGAUAUGGGACUACCUAUUCUGUGUAUCUCUUAUAUUAUGUUGUCGAUGAUGCAUGGUUCUUGAAUUUGGAGAUUAACAUUUAGGCUUUUGAUAUUUUGAACCUUUUUGCUUUGUACUAAACUUGAUGCAAACCAGUUUGUCUUAUCUGGCACUGCCA
This is a long non-coding RNA of Triticum dicoccoides, 2276 nucleotides long. RefSeq lists it as uncharacterized. The record is from RefSeq and is a predicted model, not a curated record. Lineage: Eukaryota; Viridiplantae; Streptophyta; Magnoliopsida; Poales; Poaceae. The transcript is spliced from 7 exons.